This 572-nucleotide ribosomal RNA is filed under the name Longpotamon kenliense. Its description in RNAcentral is "partial large subunit ribosomal RNA". It matches the Rfam family "Bacterial large subunit ribosomal RNA", at positions 1798 to 2631 of the family's 2925-position model. Lineage: Eukaryota; Metazoa; Arthropoda; Malacostraca; Decapoda; Potamidae. The record is from RNAcentral.
UCCUGUUUAGCAAAAACAUGUUUGUUUGGAGUUAUAAAGAAUUUAACCUGCCCCCUGAUUAACUACUAAUUAAAGGGCCGCAGUAUUAUAACUGUGCAAAGGUAGCAUAAUCAUUAGGUUUUUAAUUGAAAUCUCGUAUGAAUGGUUGGACAAAAGAAAGACUCUCUUUAUAUUAAGUUUUGAAUUUAACUUUUAAGUGAAAAGGCUUAAAUAUUCUAAAGGGACGAUAAGACCCUAUAAAACUUUACAUUGUCAUUAAUUUUGAUUGAAUUUAUGAAAUAAAAAUUUUAUUUGAUUAUUUGUUAUGUUGGGGAGACAUAAGUAAAAUAUUUUUUUAACUGCUUGAUAGUUAUACAAUUAUUAGUGAAUAAGUAGAAGAUCCUUUUUAAGAUUAGUAGAUUAAGUUACUUUAGGGAUAACAGUGUAAUUUCUUUUGAGAGUUCUUAUCGAAAAAGAAGGUUGCAACCUCGAUGUUGAAUUAAAAUAUCUAUAUAAUGGAGAGGUUAUAUAAGAAGGUCUGUUCGACCUUGAAAAUUUUACAUGAUUUGAGUUCAAACCGGUGUAAGCCAGGU